RNAcentral lists this long non-coding RNA (17358 nucleotides) under Lynx pardinus (Iberian lynx). Lineage: Eukaryota; Metazoa; Chordata; Mammalia; Carnivora; Felidae. The record is from RNAcentral.
CGGAGAGAGAGGUGUCCGGGGAGCUCCCCAGGGUAGGACAGAAAAGGGGAAGAGGUGGGGACCCCAGAGCAAGAGCUGCUGUGGGCUCCCUGCCCCCCAUGACGGGGAGGCGGUUAAACUACCUGGCCAGGCCAUCUGCCCGGAGGCAGCUUCUCCGGCUCCAGCCCCGUCCUGCCCCAGAAGGAUCUCCAUGCCACUUGGGUGAGUGGAACAACUCAGCUGGCAGGCAGGGCCAGCCCCAGCCAGGCUGGGAGAGCUGGCACCCUGCAGCCCCUGGUCAGCCUCAGGCACAGCCCACACGUAACCGGCUCCUACCAGUGGGCCGCCUUGCCCCUCCCCCACAGAGGCGGAAGGGGUCAGCAGGUGUCUGCCAGCCAAAGCCGCUGGCUGCCUCCAGCGCCCCGGGGAAAGGGAGGGCCUCUGACAGCCUGCACCAACUUUUCUUAAUUGCACAUGGUUCAGGUCAAGCCCUUCUCCCUGGGAAGCAGCUGAGUCAGAGCCUGCAGCCUCCUUAUCCCUUCAUCUCCUGUCCCACCUGCCGGUGACUUCUUCCCAGGGCUCUCUCUCCUCCACACUGAGGCUGAGUGCCUGAAGCAGGGCUCCUGUUCCCUCAGGAUUGCAGAGGCGGUGGGAGACACCUAGAGCCCAGGCUGUUGCUUUUCUGAAAGGCUGCACCCUCUCCUUUUGUUCCCCCAGUCCUCCUGCUUCUCCUUCAGUGCUUCUCAUCGCCCAACAGAUACCGACUGAUUAAUGUCUGGGUUCAAAUCCUGGCUCUGCUGUUAACUUCAGGCAAGUUGCUUGAUCUCUCAGGGCCUUAGGGUCCUCCUGUGAAACGGGAUUACCCCUCACAAGGAUGUUGGAAGAAUUAAAACACAUAAUGCAAGUCAGCAAGGCUCUCAAUGAAUGUUGGCAGUAUUGCUGCCCUUACUCUUGCUUGGCCCAGGUGCUCCCUCCCUCGCAUGCCCCUGCCCCCAGUGCUGGGAGGGGCAGAGGACGGAUAAGUGCUCUGACCCAGGGGCCCCAGGAGCACAGAUGGGGCCUGUCCCAUCUGGGGCACUGGAAAAGUCCCCUUCCAGAAGGUCAGGCUUAUAAAGGAAGGAGAGAGGUGGGGGGAAGGGGACUAGGAGGCAGGAGAUCACGGUUCCAUUGGAGAAGGGCAAGGAGUUAGCUUGGUUUGGCUGGUGGGUGGGGAGAGGUCCAACAAGCAGGACCUCCUGAGCCAAGCUGAGGAGCUUGGAAUUAAUCCUGAAGGGCCUUUGAAAAAUACAAGCGGAGGGACACAGUCUGAUUUGCUGUUUGAUUUACUUUCCGGCAGUAGCGUGAGGACUAGAUUAGCCGGGAAAGAGAACGAAGACUAGGAAACCAGCUAGAAGGCGACGGUAGGAUCCAGGCAGGAGGUGCUGAAGCCAAAGUAAGGAAGGGCAGUGGUAUAGGGAGGGGCUCAGAGAUGUUGGGAGGAGGGAAGGCAGGCCCCAGUGCGAGAUGCACUCAGGUGCAUGAGGGACAGGCAGAGGAAGGAAGAAGGCUGGCCUAGCCCUCAGGCAAUGCAGCAUGGGGGCAGGUUUAGGGGAAGAGGUCUGGUCACUUUUGGACACUGCCUGAGGUGCCACGGGCCAACUGGGGGGGCGAUGCCAGGUAGGUAGGUGGACAUGCCUGUCUGGACUCUGCAGACAGGUCUGGGCAGGAGCAGAAGAGGGGUUGUCUUCCUUGUGGGUGGCAUCGGAGGCGUGAGUUUGCAAGAGGUCCCUGAGGGAAAGCGGGCAGAAUGACAAGGCUGUGGAAUACUGGGAGCACUCACGUUCCAGGGCUGGGGGAGGAGAUGAGUAGCCGGGGGGGGGGGGGGGGGGGAGGACAGCCACAGGAAAGAGUGUCCUGCCUGCCAAAGGAGAUGCUGUGGAUAGGGCUGGGUGCUGGCCUAGAUGGAGGAAGAUCAGGCCGGAAAGGUGUCCGUUCAAUUCGGCAGCAGGGAGGUCCCCGGAGACCCUAACCAGAGCAAUAUGUGCAGGAUGGAGGUGGGGGGAAGUGCAGGGGCAGCGGAAGACCCAGCUUGUCCCCAGAGUCUUGGCCCUGAAGGGAAGCGGAGACCUUGGCAGCCAGGGGCGAGUGGGUGGGGUCUCUCUGGUGCACACUGAGAGAGACAUAAGCACAUCUAUAGGGAAAAGCUAGUGGAGAAGGAGUGGUUGAAUAUACCAGAAGGGGGAUGGUAAUGAAUGAGUGACAGCCCCCAAGAGGGGAGGAGACAUCAGGAGAAGCAGUGCAGGGUACUGAAGAGUCCUACUAAAAUAGCCGCCAUCUACAUUGUGUCUCCUAUGUGCCAGGCACCGGUCUAAGUGCUUUAUAGAUGCUAACCUGCUCAGUCCACACAACAGCCCUAGGAGGUAGGUGCUGUUAUUAUGCACAUUUUACAGAGGGAGGAUAUAGACAGAGAAAGGUUAAGUGGUGUGCUCAAGGUUAUAAAGCUACCAUGUGAUGCUGCCGGUAUGCUGGGAGUUGAACCCAGGCAGGGUGCCCCCAGAGAUGUGUAAUGGCCCAGAGCAUGGAUUCUGGAGCCAGACAGCCGGGUUUGUAUCCCAGCUUCUCCGUUUACUUGCUUUCCCCUCUGUCCCUCAGUUUCCCCACCAGGAAGAUAAGUAUGAGAAUUAUACCUAAUUCGUAGUGCUGCUGGGUGGAUUAUAUGUGUAAAUGCCCGGAAAACGCUCAGAGAAGGGCUUGGGACAGGGAAGGCGCAGGUGGAGGGACUCACCUGUGACAGGAUUGGGUGCCUCUUCCACUGGGAGCAGCGGGAAGAAGCCAGCACAGGGCUGAUGGAGGGCUUCUCGUAAAGUGUUUGCCUGCAUGGAAUGAGAAACAGGUGAAGGAAGAGGUGCUAGAAUUAAUUAGAAGAGGAAUGUGGGUAGAGCCCCCCCUCGCCCCUUUGCUCCAUAACAUGCACCCUCAGAUGUCCUCAGGGAUCACUUGCCUCACCCCUUCUGGGACAGCAUUUGCUCUGUGGGCUGAUGGGCAGAUCCCUGGUUACAUGCACAUGCGACCUAGAAGAUAAGAGUUGGGGUUGUGUGCACCUGGGGAUGGGAAGCCCGGCCUCUGGGCCAGCGGAGGAUUUGCUUCCGAAGACCUUUGCUCUGAGGGCUCCUUGAAAUCAAACCCACUUGACUUGGCUGCAUGAUUUCCCCAGUUACGGGAGGAGUUUGUUCCGGGGAUAGUGUGGGUUCUGGGCAGGACUGGCUUCAGGAGCAUGGACCUGGGGGGUCAUACCAAGCCCCAGAUUUGAAAGGGAUGGUUUAAUGCUUUGCUGUUGUCAUCUUGAAAUUCUUAAUGAUUUUGAGCAAGGGGUCCUACAUUUUCAUUUUGCACGGGCCCUGCUAAUUAUGUGGCCUGUCCUGGUUCUCGGCCCUGGGGUGCUUGCGGUCUCCCUGUCCAUAAUGAACCUGGGAGGGCCCGCAUCUGCACGUGACAGAAGCUGAGAGCUUCAUGGCCAGGCCAGAGGGGCUGGGGAAGGCAGCCUGUGUCUCUGUCCCUCCAGAGGCCUGGGGUAGGGGUGAGAUUUGUGGUAUUGGGUAAAGCACGCUGGUCAGACAACUGGGUUUGUAUCCUCACUCUGCCACCAGGCAGCUGUGUGCUCUUAAGCAGGUAAUGGACAUCUCUGAGCCUGUUUCCUCAUCUGUAGAAUGGGGAUAGGGUGACCACAUCACAGUACGAGGGUUAAAUUAGCUAAUGUAUGGAAAGUACUUGGUUCAUAGCUGGUGCUUAGCUGAUGUCUGCUGGUAAGUGUGUGGUUGGGGUAGAAGGGCAGUUGGAUUGAGGGUAACAUGCUCCCGCUCUAGCCGACUGUGGGAGAAGAGGCAUUGAGGCCCCCCUCUGCCAUCCUUGGAACCAUCUUCCAGGAAAUGGGUGGUCAGCUCUUCCUUCAAAGUGGCCCCCAUAGGGAGAACAGAUCCCAGCUCUGGUCCAGCGGUCAGAAUUUUAGGCUGCCAGGACAAGUUCCGGGGCCCUGAGGGACCCUGCUCCACCCUCCCCGCACCUUUGCACAGCCUAGUUUCCCGAGACCUUUUCCACUGGGACGCAGACCUUCCUCUGCACAUGGUGUCUAGGCUAGCCCAGCUUUCCCUGUAUAAUAGCAGUGAGCCUUCUUUCCACAGGCCCUCCCCCUCCUGGGGACAGAGCCAUGGCCUGAGGUCACAUGCCGCCUCCUUUUCAACCCCCUUUUGUCCCCACCCCUUUUCUGAUCCUUGACUUACCCUGAGCUGGAUUAAGACCUUUAAGCAGCCCAGAGAGCUGAGAGGUUGAGGUGUACCUCCCCCCACUCAUCUCCAUGCAAACUCAAAAUAAAGACCACUCUAAACCUUAAAAUUAGUGUGAGGAAGUCCAACAAAGUUCUGAUUUUUCCCAGGGUGACUACUUCCUUGCUAUUUUUGAAAUACUAGGAAUCAGCCCUUUAAAAAAACCAAACGAAAACCAGGACACUGUUGAUGCCCUUUUACUGCCAGUGCCCUAAGCACACGCUUAAUCUGUCUGUUGGGCAACCUGGCCUCGCCUGCCCCCUCCCCUGUGCCAGAGCCGGACAGAGGACUGGCCUGCAAUACAGGGCAUUGGGUCACUCUGCCCAGAGACUUCCCCAGGGGAGAGGGAAGCCCAGGGCCAAUCAGCCCCUGUUGGGGAGGUGACAUCAGGAAAGCCCAGAAGGUUCCACUUCCGCCCCUGCCACGGGUUGGGGGGGUGGGGUGCACCCUCUCCUCCCCACUAGAGAGCAGCCAGAGCCAGCCCGGGCCCCCUUCCAGUCCUCCAGCUGGCCAAGGACGGCUGGGCUGGGCUGUGUUAGUCCCUAGGCCCGUUGCCCUGCACUCCACACCUGUCAGGCAGGUCUCCCUGCCCUGAGCCACUCCUCGUCCUCCCUGUGGGGGAGGGAGCCAGCGAGUGCUGGGACUUCUGCAGACUGGCUUUUCCGGAUCCUGCCUGUAAACUCUGGUUACAAAUGAACCCCACAUGUCUGACGAGGAGGGUGCAGUGGUAGGAGGUAGAGAAGGUGAGGCAGGAGUCGAUGCACAAGCAGCAAGUCCAGUCCUCCUCAAGCACAAUCAGGGAGCGCCCCAGAGAAAGAGGAUCCCGAGCAUCCUAGAAAAUUCUAAGUGGGAGGGGCCUUUUAGAGCACUCCAUUCUGCAGAGAGAAAACAGGCCUAGAUAGAAAGAGAAGAUGGGGCGCCUGGGUGGCGCAGUCGGUUAAGCGUCCGACUUCAGCCAGGUCACGAUCUCGCGGUCCGUGGGUCCGAGCCCCGCGUCAGGCUCUGGGCUGACGGCUCGGAGCCUGGAGCCUGUUUCCGAUUCUGUGUCUCCCACUCUCUCUGCCCCUCCCCCAUUCAUGCUCUGUCUCUCUGUGUCCCCCAAAAAAUAAAUAAACGUUGAAAAAAAAAUUUUUUAAAAAGAAAGAGAAGAGCAGGUGGUUUCCACAAGGUGAGCAGCAGACACAUGGCAGGUCGAACAAAGCCCUCUUGGCCUUGUCUCAGUCCUCCGUUCUCCCUGAGUGAGGCAAGAGGACAGUCCUCUACCCCUGUCUGCUCCUCCCCCAGCGUCCCCUGCCUGCUACCCUGCCUGCCUUCUUGCUCAGCUGUCCUCCACCCAAUCAGCACCCUGGGCCUAUCCAUUGUCCCCUUUCCCCUCACCAGGGGAACACUCAUUUAUUUGUUGAGUGUCUGGCCCAUACAAAGCCAUGUGUUCUUCUGCAUAACAAACCAAAGCCACAGGUUAGAUGUUUUCUGCAGGCAAUUUCACAUUCCAGGGGAGAGAAGGGAAGGAAUGAGUAGAUUUGGGGCACUGUACAGGUGCAGGGCAUUUCCCCUACAUGACUGUGACCUUGGGAGUACCUCCAUCCCAGUGAUGAGCCCUGGAGUCACAGUUUCAAAACACUGGGCUCAAGGUUUCAAAGCAGCCAUGCUCCGGCUGGAGCCUGCCUCCAGACCUAUGCCCUUGCUUCUGCAGUGCACAACCUUACAACCCAGCCUGAAGGCUGCAGCCUGCAGUGAGCAGUCUGCACGAUCUCAUUUCAUCCUUACAGCGCCCCUGACAGAGCCACUGCUAUCCCGCCUUUUUACAGGGGAAGCAACUGAGGCCCAGGGACACCCAACUAGAAACGAUCGGAGCUGGAAUUUGAACCCAGGGCUUCAUGCUGUAGGUCCACGUGCUUGAUCACGGUGCGGUCUGAGUCCUGCCGCACACGUCCAGCCCCUUGUCCUGUGGCCUGCGGUCUUGGGCUGUGUGUUUCAAGCCAGGUGUCUGGAGUCUCCCUGGGGAGGGCAGGGGCUGCGGGUCCUCGUUCUGAAGCUGGUGUUGGCAGACCGCCACUCUGGUAAAGCUUGGCAAGGAGGAGUUGCCGAUAUGGGCUAAGAGUGCAGCUUGACAUGUGUGUCUUUUGCUCUCUUGCCCUUUUUGGGGGUUCUAGCUUUGUCCCCAUUGUUCUGGGGGGGAUUGAUUAGGCUGUGUUUCCUUCCUCACCAAGUGCUUGCCCAGAAAAGGCCCUAAAAUACACAGAUGGGGUGCUUGGAAAGAAGUCUUUCAGGCUUUGGGGUUAGAUAGAAGGGGGUUCAGAUUUCUUCUGUACUAGUGAUCUUGGAGAAGUCACUCCGAGAGUCAAGUUUCUGUUCUGUGAGGUAGAAAGAAUGGUGCUUCCUUCAAAGCAGGAUACAGGGAGUCAAGUGAGAUACCAGAUGAUGGUGAACUAUGAGGUCCUCUCUAAUUGUUGAUUGCGAUGCACUGAUGCUAUUAUCUUCCUAAAGGAAAGAGUCAGUUUGGGGGUUAGUGCAGGUGGCUGGUUGGGAGAGUGACAAGUGGAAGGCUGGGAAGCUGUUGGUAAUGUGGAUUGUGCCCCAGAGCCCUGAGACUCCUGAGCUACAGGGGGAAGGCGACAGGUGGGGGCUGUCCCCUGUGCCCUGGCGUAUCAAGAACCUCACUUUGCCUGGGUUGCUGGGGGAGGGACAGGUGUUCACACUGCUCAGGGGUGGAAUGCACCAAUUGACCCUCCAGAGCGCAGGGCCCCAGGGCCUGUUGCCAGAUAGGAGCGGCCACAUUCCCUUCCGAGCUGAUUCUACCCCCAAGAGUCCCCUCCCCCCAAAGAGGGGCUCUCUGACGUGUCUGGAAAGCUGCCUGGGUACGCAUGUCAGGGAUUCUUGUUUCUAAUGAGCCUGGUAGCUGUGGGGCGAUUGGAGGAUAGAAGGAAACUGCCUGAAUGGAGCCAGGGGUCCAUGGCUAGAGGAGGAGGGCCCUCCUGCUCCCGGCUGAUGCACUCUUCCUAGAUUAUGUAACCAUCUCCCUCAGCCCCCUGCAGGGUAUGUACACAUGAUAACUUGGAAGAGAUACCCAUCUGGUUGAGGCAGGUCAUCAAAACUGGGAACAGUCCCUGCCAAACAGGAACAUCCUGCCCCCCUCAGCUGCGCAGAUGCUUGGGUUAUUUGGGAGGAAUGAGAGAUAUAAUCACAUUCUCAGUCAGGAAGCACGGCCUGUCCAUGCUUUAUGGGGUCUUCUAGUCAAUCAUGAUUUCUUCAGCAUUUGGAAUGUGGUCAUAAAUAAGCCAAAGUCCUUGUUGAUGUGCUCAGCUUAAUGAGGAAGAGUUCCACAAACACACGGCUUGGUAAUGGAGGGACCUCGGUUUUAGGUUGGGCACUUUGGCUUGGGUUUUGACAGGUGAGUAGGAGCUCAUGAGCAGCGAGAGGGAAAUUCCAGGUCUUCCUUGUCCACCAUUUAAGAUAAGAAACCACCCUUCGUGGAAUAUAUGAGUGCUGGGAGGUGCUCUAAGUCUGUAGGAAAGCAUGACUCAGGAAUGAAGCCAUUCCGGGUCUGAUGGUGAAUCCCUGAUACUGGAAUUUUGGCCUCCCCCCCCCCGCCCCCCAUCAGGCCUCUAGCCCUUCCCUGGGCUCAGCCGGAAGAAGAUUUGGCCAAACUAAAUUUUUCUCUCUGAGGGAGCCAUCCAGCGCCUGGGUAGCUGGGAGCACAGAGGUCAAGGGAGGACCUUUUAGUGGUGCUGCAGAGAGUGAGCACACAGAUGAGAGGCUUUCCACCCCACCCUGACCGCACCUCCUGCCUGGGACGCCCUCUUAACCUGCUCUUGCCUGGUCCUGAAACAGCCCAGCCUGGGCCCUGACCUGCCAUUCUAGAUCUCUCACUUGGCUCAGUGGUUCAGAACCUAAACUCCUGCAUGACUAUCUUCAGGCAUUCCCGAGGUCCUGAGCUUGCCCAAACCACCUGAUUGAUUCUGGAGCCCUCUUAGGGACUCUCAGGUAAGUCCUCAUGAAUCCCAAAAGUCACAGUCCCAGACCUAAGCUCCAUGCCCACAGGCAGUCACCCACUCGAACAUGGCAGAGCCAGGGUUCAUCAUUUCCAGGACCAGAUGGACCAGCCGCAGGGCGGAGCACGUGGAACAUUUGUGACCACAGCGCCUCAUCACCUAAGCAGUAGGGAGUACAAAGUGGGUUUGGUCUCAGCUGAAUUUCUUUCAACGAAUGAAAGGUCUAUCAUGUCUUACCUCUUCUCUCUCUCUCUCUCUCUCUCCCUAUUUGUUUGUUUGUUUUAAGCAGGCUCUAUGCCCAACGUGGGGCUUGAACUCACGACCCCAAGAUCAAAGGCGUGCUCGACUCACUGAGCCAGCCAGGUGCCCCUGGAUCUUACCGACUUUCAAGUUAGAGUUUCCCCAUGUGGCGAGUAAGAGUGGAGCUUCAUUGGGACGCCUGGGUGGCUCCGUCGGUUAAGCGUCUGACUUCAGCUCGGGUCAUGAUCUCACGGUUUGUGGGUUCGAGCCCCGCGUCAGGCUCUGUGCUGAUAGCUCGGAGCCUGGAGUCUGCUUCGGAUUGUGUGUCUCCUCUCUCUCUGCCCCUCCCAUGUUUGUGCUCUGUCUCCCUCUGUCUCUCAAAAAUAAAUGUAAAUUAAAAAAAAAAAAAAAAAGUGGGGUUUCAAAGGGAAAGUCAAGACACCAAGGGGGAUUUGCUCACAGCUCCUUUAUUUCACAGAUACCUAUGGACCACCUACUUACCUGCCAAUUUUUACUCGAGACACAGGGGAUUCAGGAGGAAACAGAACAAAGGUCCUGUCCUCAGGAAGCUUAUAUCACUCUGGUGGGGCAGACCGACAACAAAGAAAUACACCAUGUCAAAAUACGUCAGGUGGUGGUAAGUGCUAAGAAGAUGAAUAGGGUAAGUAGGGGAUAGUGAUUGACAGGUUGGGGAAGAGUGUUGUCAUUUAUCCCGGUGGUUCUAGAAGGCCCUGCAGGUGAGGUGACAUCAAAGAAGAGACUUGAUGUAGACACGAGGCAAGAAUGUUCCAGACUGCUAGACAGUAUCAUCAUAAUCACACUCUACUGAACACACCGCUUUAACCUGCCUGCCGCUAGCCCCCACAGCCAGGCAGUGACUCUUAGAAAGAAAGCAUGACAUUUGCUCGUGGGGGGUCUUCGGUUCAGAACGUGGUCCGUACCAUGUUGUUUGCAUGUGUCUGUCUCCCCCUCUAGAAAGUCUUUUGUAAUACUGAGCCGCCAGUCCAGGCAUAGCCCUUGGAACAGAGGAGAACGUUUGUGAACCGACCGCCUGGCGCACAGAGAUGCAUGAACAGAGGCCAGGAGCUGGGUGUGUGGCACAGGCCGAGGGCAGAAGCACAUCCUAGGAAGGAGGCAGGAGUGAUCUCUAAUUUCAGUUGCGGCAGUUGAUUUGGUGGCUUUGUGUUGGUCUUCUACAGAAAAAUAAUCGCAAACAUCUGUAUCAUGUCAGCUGCUGUCCUAAGCACUUUGCGUAUAUUAAUGCAUUUCAUGCUCAUAAAAGCUCCAUGUGACAGGUAGUAAUAUCACACCCAUUUUACAGGCCAAGGUUCUGAAGCAAGUGGUUUAGCUAAGGUCACACGGCUAAUGCUUGGGAGAGCCAGGAUGUAAACCCAAGAGCCCCUGUUCUUAUCCUUACCCCAUAGAUAUAUACUCCAUAUCCUUACCCCCUAGACUGGUCCCCUCGAUCUUUCACUGGGGUGUUUGUGCCCUGUGUUUCUCGGAAAAGCCAAAGCGUUUUUGAGACUCAACUUCCAGGAAGGUCAAUGUAAGGCAAAGAUUUCAGAAAAAAAUGAAAUUUUAAUUAUAAGUCAUUUAAGACAUUUUUUAAUGCAGCCAUAUGUUAUAGCGAAUAACCCAAAAAGCCAGGUGAAUUUUUAAGAUAAAAAAGGAGGCGUCCAAGCCCUGUUGGUGGGUUGCAGGGUUUCUAUCCCCAGGUCCCCUCCCCUGACUCCCAGCCCAGGGUGGCAGACUUCCCUUAUCCCAGCACGUGUGUGUGUGUGUGUGUGUGUGUGUGUGUGUGUGUAAGAGAGAGAGAGAACGAGCGAGCGCGGGCGUCCCCAGUCACUGUGACGUCUGGAUAGAAGUGAGUCAUGAACAUGUCAGGCUGGGCUACAGUAUGAAGUGUCGCUUUCUGAUUUUUCUUCUUCAGGCCUGCGCCAGGGGUGGGGCGGGGGGGGGGGCAGGCAGGGAAGGGGCUGGGCCUUGACUCUCCAUGGAAGCUUGCCCAGGGCUCCAGAGUUUCUGGUCUGUGCUUGUGGGACAGUGUCGCACAAGGCUCAUCCUACUUAACACCACCAGGCAGUAAUGCAGGAGGCAGGAGGGACCUCUCAUCCUCUGUACCUUAAAAUACCCCCGCCCAGGCCCAGCAUCCAGUUUGCAGAGCACAUCCUUAGGUGUUGCCUCCCACAGAGUGAGAGGCGUGUUCUGUGACCUGUGUUUUCUGUAUGUCCGUGUAUGUCAAGCCCAGGAACCAGUGUCCUCACUGCCGUGUGCCCCAGAAUGGGUCUCCCUGCGGAGGCAAUGCCCAUGGGUGUUUUAAAGGCAGAGCAAGAUGAAUGUAGGCUGACACUUCCCCCCUCUAUUGACAAGGAACUGACAGGCCUCGCAGAGGACAGACCUGGUAAUUAAUGUGCCAGCAUCUUCAUUGACAAGGCAAAAAAGCAAAUACACAAGCUGAGGGGAGUUAGUCAUGCCGACGGGGGGGGGGGGGGGGGGGGGGGGGGGGGGGAGGGGGGGGGGGGGGGGGGGGGGGGGGGGGGCGGGGGGGGGGGGNGGGGAUGGCGGUGGGGACAGGGAAAGGGCAGGGAGGUGUGGGGUGUGUCUGGGGGAUGGGAAGGGCUCAGGCAGGGCGAGCUGGGAGCGAGCAGAGCGAGAGAACAGAAUUGUCUGUGCAUCUGGGAGGAAAUGUAUGUGUGAGAGAAAGAAAACGUGAGAGAAUGUGUCUGAGACCAAAUGUAGGGGUGGGUGAGGAGAAAUGUGCGUGUGACUGACAGAAGGAGGGAGGGAGGCGGGCGGGGUGCGGGCAGCGGGCCUCUCUCAUCCCUCCUUCAGCCACAAGGGCUUCUGGAAAGCCCUGCAGUUUGGAGUGAGGGAUGUGCGGGAGAGGUGAGAUUUCAUUACCUUUCCCUUUGUGUGAUAUUUUCGUGUUAGAAAUGUAAGACGGGAACUAUAAAUAAUCCAGUCACAGCUGCGGCAUCCUGGAGAUUUAUGGUGCGUGCCAAUGCCGGCCAGCUUCGGGCGGGGGGUGGCUUUGCUUUACGGAGCCAAGAUAAAAGGCUGCCCCUCCUGCACUUGGCCCUCCCGGCCCUGGCCGGCCCCCCCCCCCCCCCCCCGCCCCCUCCUUGCACAAGCCAUCCCUCCUGAGCUGCAGACCCCAGGGGAGAGAGAGGCUCACAAGUGCCUAGAAACCCCUUGUCCUGGGCAGCCUGGAGCCAAGUACCAAGUGGGCGAACAGGGGAUGUCGGGAAGACCAGUGAGGCAGGGGCCAGUGUGGGCAAAGGUGCAGGCCUGCCGUGGGAGGCCCCCCUUUGCUCAGCUGCCACAGACAAGGGGGGACCAACAGGUGGCCCAGCCACAGCCAGGCUCAAGUCUGAGGUCCCUGGAGCACGGGCCAAUGGCCCUCUGUUCCUGGCCUCCUUUCUGGGCAGGGGUCUUGUUCCGUGCACCAUCAGCAGUACGACCAAGCUGUGCUUGGUGCAAGACCCUGGUGGGGGCGGAUGGCCACCCCCACCCCCCUGCCCCGCCGCUUCCCAGGAGAGGGUGCACUCCCUGUUGGCCUGAGAAGGGGUCGUCCUCCAAGAACUUGGGAGCUGCUGGCCAGUCCAGUGACACCCCAGGGAAGAGACAGACAGUGUAUUUGGGACAGUGAGAGGGCAGGAAGGGGGCAGCCUGGGCUCCCCACGUCACCUCCCAGGAUCUCUCUCCAGCCUUGUUGUGAGGACAGGGGGAAGAGGUGCAGGAAGACAUUUGAGAGCCAGCCACAGGCUUGUCCUUGGGACUCAUGGGACUGAAGGAAGAGGAAGGUCAGGGGUCUCAGGGAGAGGAGCUGGUUCAAGACCCCCCUGUGACAUGCCUGGGCUUCCCUGCAGUGUCUCACGAGUACACUUGUGUGGCUGUGUCCCACGAGCCCUAGGCUUCCCGAGGGCAAGAGACACGGACGCACGGCUCUUACGGAAGCCUGGUGGCUACAUGCGCCCUGGCCCCGGGCUUGAUGCAUCAGUUAGUUCUGCAGAAUGGUGGGACCCUGGUGCUGACAUGUGCGUGUAUGGACCCCACAGAAUGGAGCCCUGGAGGGAGUGUGUGGAGUGGGGGAGCAGAGCCACCUGGAUCUCUGAACCCCACUCGGUCCCCUCCUGUUAGUCCUCGGGCUGUCCCUGGAGCUGAGGGUCUCUGUGCCAGCCUGCCCCCGGCCCCUCCUGCCUUCUCUGGAAACCCCGGGGCUGGUGCAGCCCAGGAACUGCAGGCACCAGCCUGUCACCUCGAUGGUUCUCGCUUUGCUUCCCUUCUGAUUCUCUGAGCAAAUAUUGAACAUCCAGAGACACAUCCGAAUCCUCGGCGUGGGGUGGGAGGUGGAGGCGGUGACACAACUGGCUACUUCUUGGGGCAGCUCAGUCAAGAUCAACCUCAGCUCCAGGCCUCUGGCCGAGGGAGGCUGCUGAGGGGGUGGGGGCAUUAGUCCAGUGGACAGAGAGGGGCCCUUCCCUCAGAGGAUUCCUUCAGGGCAACUGGUGCGUGACUGUGGAUUUCCAAAGCAGCCACACAUGGGUUGUGGCAGGGUCUUUUCCUGGGGCAGUGCGGUCUAUUUUCUGCCAGCCUCCUAAAGCAAACCAUGUCUGGGAGUGGGGCACACGCGGUAGAAUGAAAUCCCCUGGGGUGUCCCAGAGGCAGCUCAGCCAUAAGCACGAAUGGCCUCAAAGCAAGCUUGCCGAAUUUCGUGAAUGGCAGAGCCGUGAUAUUCGGAAGGGGAACCGGGAUCCUCUGAGGAUGUGUCCCCGCUUGAUGCAUUCCGGAUGCACCUGUCGGGGGUCACCACUCUAUGCAUCAUCACGCUGUUCUGGGUGGUUGUGCCAGCCAGGGUGCUGACUGUAAGAGGCAGAAAUGGACUCUGACAUUCUCAAGCAGAGAAAAGAUUUGCUGGAAGGAUUGGGGGCUGCUCACAGCAUCAGUGGGAAGGCUGGAGUCCCAGCUUGGAAGGUGAGCAGGAUCCAAGAGAUGCUAGGCAGUCAGCGUCGUUGCCAAGGUCACGCCACAGGGCAGCCUGCUUAGGAUGCCUUUGCUGUUACCACCCCUCUGCCAUCAAUGGUGUGAUGACAGGUAAUUUUGUGUGUCAACUUGACUGGACCAUGAGAUGCCCAGAUAUUUGGUCAAAUAUUAUUCUGGGUGUCUCUGGAUAAGAUUAACAUUUGAAUCCUUAGGCUGAGUAAAGCAGAUUGCCCUCUCCAAUGCUAGUGGGCUUAAAUAGAACAAAAACGUGGAAGAAGGGAGAAUGUUCUCUCUGCCUAUUGAGCAGGGAAGUCAGUCUUCUCCUGCCCUUGGACUGGGAUUUACCCCAUCGGUUCUCCUGGUCCUCCAGGUCUUUGGAUUCAGACUCUUGUCCCAUGAAUACUCCUCAGGAAGGGAAAUUCCUACCCCAUCCCCCCAAAUACGGAAGGAACACUCUGGAUGGCCUUCUCAGUCUGCCCCUCCAGAGUUCCAUCCUUCUAUCUUUUCCCCCAACUCCGAAGUCCAGGAGGCUAACCUGUGUGGGCCUCAUCCCAUUUCGCCCAGAGGCCGAAAUCCCAUGCCUCUGGCUUCCAGGGUCUCCCACUGGAGGAGACUAGGAAGGUGGGCGGAGAGAGGUUGGGGUAUUUUUCCCCUUGUUUCUUUCCUUUGCAGCUCUGACUCUCUUCAGCUUCCAGCCAUCUCCCUCCCUGUCACAUCAAGGUCUGCAGAAUUCCUUCUGGUUUCUUUUAGCACUGCCCGCCCUAGGCAAAUAGUGCCUUUUGAAAGACUCCUCAAUUGCCCUAGUUGAGGGUAAUGCCUCUUACCUGCUGGCACCUCACAUGGGACAGGAAGUCUGGAGAUUGGGAGGCAACAGAGCCCCAGCAAAUGCCCACAACGUGGUGGUCCAGAUGCCGAGGGGAGGCAGGGUGCAUGGUACAGGGCAAGAGCAUGGACUUUGGAGACAGACUUACUAGGGUCUGAAUUCUCAGCCUGACUCUUAGUAGCUCUGUGAACUUGGUCAAGUUCUUAACCAGGCUGACCCUUCUUUGUUCUUCACCUGGGAAAUAAAAGUUCAUAUGGAUGUCAUAGAUUUAUUGUGAGAAUUGAAUGAGACAAAUUUUUAAGCACUCAGGACACCAGUGAUGGCAAGAAGGGUCUACCUUAACGUGUCAGCUCCAACUGAUCAGUUAGGGCUCCUGGGAGCCCUGGGUGAAGAAUUCUGACAUCUCAUCCUGGCCUGGGGAUGAUGGGUGCACUCAUGAUUGAUUAGUGAUGUCUGUCAUGGUGUAGCUUGGGAAGUGGCAGUAGGAUGCACUUGCCUUUUCUGUAGUAAACACCCACUGAGUGAUAGCUAUCAAGUUUUAUAUUUCUUUGCUUCUUGGGAGGGGAAGUCGGAUUCCUAUGUGACCACCAGUGCUGCCCAGGUCCUGAGGCAUCGAGCUACCUCUCUUGGCACAUCUCAGAUUCCUCAGUAGUGCCGAUGCUCCGACCUGCCCUUUCCUUUGAUCAGCAAACUGCUUCAGCCCUAUCUGGGUUGUUUAAGGUCUUCUUUUUCUGGGAACGUUCUCUUGCUCUUUUCAGUCCCCAAAUGCCCAGCCUGAUUCUCCCCUCCGUGUCUACCACCCUCUCUCCAUAGAAAAUAAUAGGGAAUUAUAUACAUUUAACUUGAAUUUCUCUGCCUCAUGUCACCUCACUUUCCAAAUCUCCCCCAUUAUCUCCUGCCCCAACCCAGGGGGCCUGGCAUUAUCCCAGGCACACACACCAGAGGAGGUUGAAGACAGAAGAGGUGAAGAGAAUCAUGGCCACAGGUGUCCUACUGUGUGAACUGGAGACUUAGUGAUCAUCAGGUGGCUCUUGGAGUAGCAAAAAAGGUAGAGGAAGCAAGGAUUCUUUUUCAGAAGUGAUCUCCUUUCUAGUUUCACUGGCGCAUAGGAGCAAUUUUUAAUUAUUCAAGAACACUUUGUUCAGCACCUACUAUGUGCCAGGGAGGAAUGCAUCAAACAGACAUGUUCUUUGCCCUGAUGGGGAAACAGACAAGUAUAACACUGGGUGCUGGACAGUCCAGUAAAUGCUAGACAGGAGCACAGGAAGGACCUCCAAUUGCAAGGAUGAUUUGGGACAAUCAGGGAAGACUUUCUGGAGGAGGUGGCUUCUAAGCUGAGUCUGGAAGGAUAAGGAAGGUGUUUCAGGUGGUCUUGGGAGCAGCAUCUGCAAAGAUCCAAAGGUGUGUGUCCAAAGAGCUACUGGCUCCUGGCGCGUCACUGUGGCUGGCUCUCAGAGCUGGAAGUGGAAAGUGCUGGACAGGAAGUGGUAGGAGGAGGGUGGUAGAGUCCUAUGGGGCCUUGAAAAGGAGUCCAGAUUUCCCCAAAGCAGCACCCAUCCCACCCACCUCACCCCCAGCCUGUCCUCUGCCCGCUGAGGCUUGAGGUUUGUGAAGCCUCCCUCCCAUCGCUCCCCCCAUCCCUCCCCAUCCUGGGAGGGCUUCUCAGGCCUCAGGGAGCAGCCUCUGUCCCCUCACCCCAAUGCCUUGUGAGUCACUAGGAGUGUAGUGACAGCUGCUUAAUGUGAGGAGUGGCUGGGCAGGUGGCCCACAGUGGCUGCAUGAGGAUGAACCAAAGUAGGGGUUAAGGGGAGCCCCCAACCUGGGGGAUGAAGGUUUUAAUGCAGUCUUGCUAAUAACUGGCUGACCCAGCCAUCAGCUGCAAUUUAGGGUAAAGCAGGCUUUCAAGCAUUUUUUUCUCCAAUGACUAAGUCGGUUUGCAAUUAUUUCCUCCUCUUGUAAAACCCCUCACACCUUUUCCCCAGCCACUUCCCCUGCUCAGACCUGCUUCUCUUUGGAAAAUGCGAAAUGGUGCAUAUGUGAAGCUGUGUAGAAAUGCGUGUAGCUUUAUGUGUGUCUGUGGAUGAAAGCAUCUCAGGGGCGUCUGGGUGGAUCUGUCGGUUGAGUGUCCGACUUCGGCUCAGGUCACGAUUGCACAGUUCAUGGGUUCAAGCCCCACGUCAGGCUAUGUGCUGAUAGCUUGGAACCUGGAGACUGCUUUGGAUUCUGGGUCUCCCUCCCUCACUUCCCCUCCCCUGCUGGUGCUGUGUCUCUCUCUCAAAAAUAAACAUAAAAAAAAAAAAGAAAGAAAGAAAAGAAAGUAUCUCAUACAUGUGUAAGGAAGUGUAUAAAUGGGAGUGUGUGUGUGUGUGUGUACUUGCCUGAAAACGUCUCUGCUGGUGCCAUGCAUGGCAGCACGUGUAUGCCUCUGUGCAUGUGGGGGAACGUGAAUGCACGCAUGUGCACUUAUGUCCAGGACAGGCUGUGGGUGUGUAUGAGUGUGGGGGACCUAAGGUGUGUGUGGGUUUGCAGUGAGUGUGAAUGGGAUUCUAUGCAUGGGAUUCUAUGCAACGGGCCCCCAUGAUCCUCUGCAAGGGAGACACUGUUAGGCUGGCAUAUUUAUAUUAACCCAAACCAUAAAAUGCCCAACUGGUCUCCCUGCUUCCCCUCUCGCUCUUUCCUUUGUAGGCUGUCCUCCACCUAGCAGCCAGUGCAAGCUUUUAAAAAUGCGAAUCAUUUCUAGCCUGACAACCUUCCGGUGGCCUCCCGCCGCAUCUGGAAUAAAUCCAAACUUCCGACUAUGGCCUGCCUCCAUUCCAAUCUUUGAAACUUCGUGGCCUCGUCUCCCAGUCCUCUGGCACCCUCUGCCUCAGCCACAUAGGCCAGAGCCUUUGCACUUGACCUGCCUUCUCCUGGACCCCUUUGCAGUGGGGUGCUGUCUUGGCUCCAGAUUUCCGCUCGACAUGGUGACAUUAUCGGUGGCACCUUUCCUGACUUCUCCAUUUAACUUGGUACCUCCAGGGGUUCCUGGCUGGCUCAGUUGGAA